GACCAGGGAUCAGCGGAU
Molecule: non-coding RNA, 18 nt
Filed under: Arabidopsis thaliana (thale cress)
Lineage: Eukaryota; Viridiplantae; Streptophyta; Magnoliopsida; Brassicales; Brassicaceae
Source: RNAcentral